CCUAAUAUCCUAAAGUUAAGACCUCAUCUUCUUCUCUAACCUGGACACCCUUCAACACAUACAACAAACUCUAGGAACACACCUAAGAUUCCAGCCGCACCAUACCCUCAUCAAUUCUAAUCCCACACCACAAAAACCAAUAUUCGCCACCAUUGAAAAGCCUCCCUUCUCCAAAACUAGAUGCCGCCGAUCGCCACUUCUUCUUCUUCCCUACUUCACCCCAUAGCAACCAGCCGCUUCCCACACCGAAAAACCCCAGUCACAUGCCUGGACAAGACAAACACCAAAACAUGGCAGGAACCCAUUAACGACCAACACAAAUAGAUACGACAAAACCCAUAAAGUUCACGUUGCAAUGUCAUUUCAAACGUCGGUCUAGGUACAAAAGCUAUGGGAAUUGACUCAAUCAUACCCAAAAUUAUCCUCUCUGUUUGAGUUCGAGUUUGUUGCCGGUUGUCAUGUGAGCUUUGAGUAUUACGGUCUGCUAUUCUGGUCCAGAUUUGGAAUAUGUUCGAGGUGCUAUUGUCUCAUUUUAUUCCAAUUCAUUUCUUAAAGUUUGCUGCUCUUUGAACUCGCAUAGACGUCUCUCAUCAAUUUAAAUUUUGAUAACCAUUUUGUCUCCAUCUAGGUCGACUCCUUACUCUGUUCUCUACUUAAUCUAGAAUUAUCUCACGUGCAUGAUUUAUCCUUGCUUGCGCUUCGUGCAUUACUUAUUACGCUUUGACUGAUUUUUUUCAAUUCUGUUUGAAUUGAAUUUCAAAUAUAAACAUUGUUGAAUUCUUGUUUUGUGUAUAUGUGUUGAUGCGUGAGAGAGAAAAUAAUCUUAAUGAACCAGUAAGUGAUCCCAAAUGGAAUGAUAAAGAAAUGGACAUUAACUGGGUCAUGAGAGUGGUAUUGGAUGGGAUAAGAAUCUGAUUAAUUGGAACUUAAACGGGUUUGAGCUUUGGUCACAAUUUACAUUCCUGAACUGGAUUUAAUAUCAAUUUUACUUUUAUAUCAUCAUUUUGUUAUUGCUAGUAGCAUGUUUAGGCCGACCACACUCGAUUAGAUAAAUCUUAGGUUUUCUUCAUUUCAUUUUUAUUUUUGAGGCAAGAGGUCGUUUGUCUUAAUUUAUUAUCCAUAAAAUGUCCCGUGAAAUAUUUAUAAAUUUUAUCCAGGGUAUGCCCCGAAAUAUUUGUAUUUGGAAGCCGAACGUAGAACUCAUAGUAUUUUUAUUUUUAUUUUAUUUUUUAUUUUUUUAUUAGGUGAGAACAACCUCGAGCCUCUGGUGUGUUUAUUUUUCUUUUUGUAUGUGUUUAUUUUUACCUCAAUUUGAUUAUUUUACAAGCCAAUUAGAUCAAGUACACAAACCGUAAUUUUCAUGGGACUUAGGAAAUGCCUAAAACCUUCUCCCUAAGUCAAAUGAAUCCCCUUACCUAAACUCUAAUUCAAACUUAUUUUUGGAGUUCAAAGUGUUUUAAAAGGAAAAAUUAUUUCUAAUAAUGGUGACCUGACACAACGAAAUGAAAUAUCAGGUGGCAACUUUGAAAAGUCCUUUUGAACACAAUUUUUGUCACUUUCAAAAUUGAAAACCCUUUCUAGCUUUACAAAUCCUUUUAUUAUUUUUAAGAGGGUUAGUGAGAUUAAAAAAAUGGGUGUGACAGCUCUGACUACUGUGCUGGGGAUUAGCAGGUUCGAGCUAAUAAUUGAUCUUGUUGGCUUUUAGGAUAUUCAAUUAAGGUGUUCGUUUUCUUUAUUUGCUUUGAUUAUUUGGUUUGUUUGUCUUAUUUGAUAUUUUGUUGGUUAUUUGUUUAUCUCUUUUCCUUAUAUGUUUACUGUUUUGCAACUAUUAUCAUUUGCAUAACCAUGAGUCUUCUUUCUGCACUAAGCUUUCCGGAGUACGUUUGAGUGUGCACGACCUUUUUGUGAGUCACUCGUGUCUUUGUGGGGGUGGCGUGGGAGCGUAAAGUGGGUGGAUAGCUAGAGCAGCCGCCAUCGACCACGUGCCGCCCCGAAUUGCCUUGUCUAGUGAACCCUUAAACUUAGGUCAGCCUUUAGGUCAUGCUUAUUUGCAUCAUAUCAUUUACACUUAGCAGGAUUCAGACUCAAGCUCCAUGUCCCUUUGUAGGAGACAUAUCUAUAGCUCGCGGUCCAAAAAGACAUUCAAUCUUCUCAAUUCCCCAUGUGCUACAUAUUGAAUUUUUUAAAGGUAAAGGGAUCAUCUAGCGGACCAAUGCUGGUUGAGGGUAUAAACAUGAAGCAAGUAGGCCCCAAAUAAAUAUUUUCUUUCACAAAUUUUUCAAGAAAAGACCAAUAUAUAAAAAUGAAAAUCCAAAAAUAUUUUGUACUUUCCCCAUCAUUUUCCAAAAAUUCAGAAGAAAAAAGAGAAAAAGAAAAUCCAAUGUUUUUUACAUGUUUCAUCAUUUUUCAAAAAAAAAAAAACAACAAAAACCUGUUUUCUCCAAUUUAAUUGUUUUUAAAUUCUCUCCUAUGUCCAAUCUUCCCGAACUACGUAUACCCGAUUCUCGUCUUUCAGGGCGAGAUGCCUAGGCAGCACACAUAGGAUCUGGUCUUCCUAGUGAGUUUUAGGCACUUGGCUUCGGGAGUCGUUACCAAAUCUUACAUGUCUAGCCACGUUUGGCCACAUUGGUCAUUUUGUAAAAUAGGGCUAGUUUCUCAAAGUGGCUUAUUAUCCCAUGUCUUAGAGCCCUAAGUCCACGACAAGGUAUCCUCCCUGUUUAAGGUCCAUUUUGCAGAGUUUGCACUUCUAGCCAUUUUUUGGCCACAUAGGCCAUUUAUAUAAAAUGGGUCAUUUUCAAAGUAAUUUAUUAUGUCGGGGAUCACCUUUGUUGAGUUUGCACUUCUAACCACAUUUUGGCCACAUAAGUCAUUUUGCAAAAAUAGUCUUAAUCAUGCCUUGCAUGUGUGCAAUAGGUGACGUGGCAUCGCAGAGUGUCUUGAGUCACUAAUCUAUUUGGUCUUAUUUUCUCAUUCAGGCAUGGAUCCAUGUACUAGAGCUCGAGCGUGACAGAUUCCCCAGGACCAUCCAGUUAGGACCACUUCAUUCAGGAACUACUUGAGGAUACUUUUCUAUAUUUUUGAGUCUUUUUUCGUGUUUUCUUUUACUUUCUAAUCCUGUUUAGUAUUUUUUUAGUCUUUUAGGCGGUGUAGAUUUUGUCAUAAUCUAGCCGAGUCUAUUAAAUCUUUU
RNAcentral lists this long non-coding RNA (3187 nucleotides) under Nicotiana benthamiana. RNAcentral's name for it is "long non-coding RNA (NBEN_LNC041661)". The record is from RNAcentral. Lineage: Eukaryota; Viridiplantae; Streptophyta; Magnoliopsida; Solanales; Solanaceae.